UGUGUAAUUACAAUAAUAGCCAAGAUACAUUUUGUUGCAUUUAUUCUAUCAUCUGUUACAUAUAUUUUGUCACCCCUCCUCAAUUUGUGCAUGGUAAAAACACUUCUCUCUCUCUUUAAAAAUUAUCCUCUCCCUUUAAAAAAAAAUAAUUCAUUUUUUCAUUUUUUUGAGGGUGGAAGAAGAUGACUUUUCUAAUUAACCGGAAUAUCAUCUUCUCUCCAUUCAUAGUAUUAAUUAUUAUAGAUCUAGUUUUUUGUUUGAAUAAGUCUUUUUUAAGUUGGUCUUUUCAAUUUGGAUUUUUAUAUUUUUGAAUAAAUUUUUGUGGUUUUUUCCCACCUCUUUGAUCCAAUGUUUUAGAUCGUUUAAACAUCUUUAGUGUUCGUUCAAAUUUUAAAUCCAAGUUCUUGUAGAUUUAAGAAUUGGGAAGGUGUGUAGAUCUAUCUUUCUAGAAUAUCAUGGAAGAUAAACCGAAAAUACUAGGUUUCGUCGGAUAGAGCGGAUUUUUUGUCAAGAUCGAAAGAAGAAUUAUCUAAUUAGCCUGCUCAACGGAACAUAGUUCUACGUUAUGUUAAAUUUACGGGAUCCAUGUCAUGGAUUUUUCUUUAUUUUUCGAUUAUUUUUUGCUUAUCUUGGAUUGUUGUUUAGUAUUUGGUUGAUCAAAUUUGGAAGAUCAUAUUGAGCUGUUUGUAAUAUGACUUUCAUUAUUUAUACUUAUAUAUGUCUUCAUCAAUACAUUCUAGUUUGAAAAAAAAAACAUGUGCUUGGUAAAACAACAUCUAGAUUGGCUUUAAGCAAUACAAAUCUAGUACUAGGAAGACCCUUAGUAAAGAUAUUAGCCAAUUGUUUUUUUUCUGAAACAUGAAAAAUGCAAAUAUCACCCGGAACAACACGUUUCUGAAUGUAAGGAAUCUAUGGCAUUCAUUGAAAAUUCUUCUUUUAAUUUUUUAAUAAAAGAAGAUAACAAGGAGGAAGAGGAAGCUGUUAGCAAAAUAUCAUCCACAUAUAGUAAAAGAAUUGCCAUACCGUUAGAACCUUUAUAGACAAACAUGGAACAAUCAGAUUUGCGAUGUGUUUUAUUUGAUCAUUAGUGGUUUGGUUCUUUUAAACUUUGAUUUGAUAUGCAUAAUCUUUGUUUUGAUGUUUGAUCGCAUUUUGGGUGUGGUUCAGACUGUUUGGAGUGACUUUGGGCUUAAGGCCAAGCAAAUCCUCUAUCACAGGCGUGACAGAGACAUGUCACGGGUGUGAUAUGUCUGUCACGGGCGUGAUAGAGCACUGCGGUGCUUGCCAUUUUUUUUAUAAAUAACCCCUUAUUUCGACCUAAAAUCAUUUCCAAUCAUCUCUAAAACCCUAAAACGUCUGAGACCUCUAUCGAACUCAUUUUCCCACUCAUCCCUCUCAUAUUUUGAUCCUUUGCUUGCGAUUCAUUCAAUUUCUGGAUAUACCAUUUCUUUUGCUUUCAAGAGAUCCUUGAUCCGUUCAAGACUUUUCAGUAUUUGUUCAAACUUCAGCUUCACGUUUUGGAAAAUUCAAGGCUUUUUUUUCAUCGUUCGAAGUAUCUUAACUGCGGAACAAGUGGUUAGCAGAAGUUACGGGGUAUGAUUGGUCUCAGGGUAUUCUUCACUCUCAAAUUCAUCCUAUUUUUAGUCAACUAUUAAAUUUCUAUUUUUAAAUUUCUAUUUUCAUUUCGUUUCUUUUUAUAGAUCGAUUAUAGGGUUUCAGUUGUUUUUUAUUUUUUUAUAAUUUUGACCUACGAUAUGCUUUAA
Long non-coding RNA from Mercurialis annua (annual mercury), 1763 nucleotides. RefSeq lists it as uncharacterized. NCBI's taxonomy places the organism in Eukaryota, Viridiplantae, Streptophyta, Magnoliopsida, Malpighiales, Euphorbiaceae. The transcript is spliced from 3 exons. The record is from RefSeq and is a predicted model, not a curated record.